This 253-nucleotide ribosomal RNA is filed under the name uncultured bacterium. RNAcentral's name for it is "partial 16S ribosomal RNA". It matches the Rfam family "Bacterial small subunit ribosomal RNA", at positions 524 to 776 of the family's 1533-position model. The record is from RNAcentral.
UACAGAGGGUGCAAGCGUUGUUCGGAAUUAUUGGGCGUAAAGGGCGCGUAGGCGGUGCGGUAAGUCUGUAGUGAAAUCUCUGGGCUCAACUCAGAGUCUGCUAUAGAAACUGCCGUGCUUGAGUGUGGGAGAGGUGAGUGGAAUUCCCAGUGUAGAGGUGAAAUUCGUAGAUAUUGGGAAGAACACCGGUGGCGAAGGCGGCGCUCUGGACCGAGACUGACGCUGAGGCGCGAAAGCGUGGGGAGCAAACAGG